This 753-nucleotide long non-coding RNA is filed under the name Hordeum vulgare. RNAcentral describes it as "long non-coding RNA (HVUL_LNC008297)". Lineage: Eukaryota; Viridiplantae; Streptophyta; Magnoliopsida; Poales; Poaceae. The record is from RNAcentral.
GUGACAAUAUCAGACUUCAUAUAUCAUCAUCAGUUUCAUACAUAUAUAUCAUCAUCAGUUUCAUACAUAUAUAUACAAGGCUACAACAGUACCAACCACAAAAGGACCUGCCAACUACAACAAUACUAGCAAAAUACACCAACUUGCAACUACCACCACAUGUAUUCUCAUUCCUAAGCCAUACCGGAUACAGAAGUCCACAAAAGAGCAUAUCAAGACCACCUAUAGUCUGAUGUUAUCGUGUUGUUUGAGCAUGGCUGGUUGUGUCAACGGUCUGAUCGACAUCAACAUUCCCAGUGGCGUCAUUCUCCUCGCUCGAACCCAUGACAUCAUUGUUUCCAUCAACCGCUUGCGAGCCAGCUUGAGAUGAGUUAUUUGUCCCCUGAAUUAAGCCCAAGUUACCAAAUUUUUAUUUAAUCUGGUUUAGAACAAUAAAAUGCAAUACUUUGUUGGAUGACAAGUGGAGACAACACAACCAAAUAAUUAGAUAUCUAAACUAAGCAUAGAUAUCUAAACUAUCCUGUUUUUAUGCAAUGCAGACCAUAGAUAUCUAAAUUAUCAGCAUAGAAAUAUCGAACUUACAAGCAUGUUUAGUUCAGAUUUCUUACUCUGACAAGCAUGCUUAGUUUGCCUAAGAAAGGAUGCCACCUACUGCUAACACCACAACAAUUUUUAGAGUAACGGAGUUCCAGAGCUAAAAAACCACCGAAGCACAUUUACUGAGAAAUAGCAGCCCUGGACAUUAGAACCCCG